GGAGAGCUGUCCGAGCGGUCGAAGGAGCCUGAUUCGAAAUCAGGUGUGCCCUUACGGGUACCAAGGGUUCGAAUCCCUUGCUCUCCGCCA
RNAcentral lists this transfer RNA (90 nucleotides) under Myxococcales bacterium. RNAcentral's name for it is "tRNA-Ser". It matches the Rfam family "tRNA". Rfam says of the family: Transfer RNA (tRNA) molecules are approximately 80 nucleotides in length. Their secondary structure includes four short double-helical elements and three loops (D, anti-codon, and T loops). Lineage: Bacteria; Pseudomonadati; Myxococcota; Myxococcia; Myxococcales. The record is from RNAcentral.